RNAcentral lists this transfer RNA (90 nucleotides) under Patescibacteria group bacterium. RNAcentral describes it as "tRNA-Ser". It matches the Rfam family "tRNA". Rfam says of the family: Transfer RNA (tRNA) molecules are approximately 80 nucleotides in length. Their secondary structure includes four short double-helical elements and three loops (D, anti-codon, and T loops). Further hydrogen bonds mediate the characteristic L-shaped molecular structure. tRNAs have two regions of fundamental functional importance: the anti-codon, which is responsible for specific mRNA codon recognition, and the 3' end, to which the tRNAs corresponding amino acid is attached (by aminoacyl-tRNA synthetases). tRNAs cope with the degeneracy of the genetic code in two manners: having more than one tRNA (with a specific anti-codon) for a particular amino acid; and 'wobble' base-pairing, i.e. permitting non-standard base-pairing at the 3rd anti-codon position. The record is from RNAcentral.
GGAGGAGUGCCAGAGCGGUCGAAUGGGACAGUCUUGAAAACUGUUAGGCCUGCAAAGGUCUCGGGGGUUCGAAUCCCUCCUCCUCCGCCA